Molecule: ribosomal RNA, 430 nt
Filed under: uncultured bacterium
Lineage: Bacteria
Description: partial 16S ribosomal RNA
Rfam family: Bacterial small subunit ribosomal RNA
Source: RNAcentral
AACGAACGCUGGCGGCAGGCCUAACACAUGCAAGUCGGACGCCCCGCAAGGGGAGUGGCAGACGGGUGAGUAACACGUGGGAACCUUCCCUAUAGUACGGAAUAGCCCAGGGAAACUUGGAGUAAUACCGUAUACGCCCGAAAGGGGAAAGAAUUUCGCUAUAGGAUGGGCCCGCGUAGGAUUAGCUAGUUGGUGAGGUAAUGGCUCACCAAGGCGACGAUCCUUAGCUGGUUUGAGAGAACGACCAGCCACACUGGGACUGAGACACGGCCCAGACUCCUACGGGAGGCAGCAGUGGGGAAUAUUGGACAAUGGGCGCAAGCCUGAUCCAGCCAUGCCGCGUGAGUGAUGAAGGCCUUAGGGUUGUAAAGCUCUUUUGGCGGGGACGAUAAUGACGGUACCCGCAGAAUAAGUCCCGGCUAACUUCGUG